GAUGAACGCUGGCGGCGUGCUUAACACAUGCAAGUCGAACGAAGCACCUUGAUUUGAUUCUUCGGAUGAAGAUCUUGGUGACUGAGUGGCGGACGGGUGAGUAACGCGUGGGUAACCUGCCUCAUACAGGGGGAUAACAGUUAGAAAUGACUGCUAAUACCGCAUAAGACCACAGCACCGCAUGGUGCAGGGGUAAGAACUCCGGUGGUAUGAGAUGGACCCGCGUCUGAUUAGGUAGUUGGUGGGGUAACGGCCUACCAAGCCGACGAUCAGUAGCCGACCUGAGAGGGUGACCGGCCACAUUGGGACUGAGACACGGCCCAAACUCCUACGGGAGGCAGCAGUGGGGAAUACUGCACAAUGGGGGAAACCUUGAUGCAGCGACGCCGCGUGAGCGAUGAAGUAUUUCGGUAUGUAAAGCUCUAUCAGCAGGGAAGAAAAUGACGGUACCUGACUAAGAAGCACCGGCUAAAUACGUGCCAGCCGCCGCAGUAA
This 495-nucleotide ribosomal RNA is filed under the name uncultured bacterium. RNAcentral's name for it is "partial 16S ribosomal RNA". It matches the Rfam family "Bacterial small subunit ribosomal RNA", at positions 28 to 523 of the family's 1533-position model. The record is from RNAcentral.